RNAcentral lists this ribosomal RNA (253 nucleotides) under uncultured bacterium. Its description in RNAcentral is "partial 16S ribosomal RNA". It matches the Rfam family "Bacterial small subunit ribosomal RNA", at positions 524 to 776 of the family's 1533-position model. The record is from RNAcentral.
UACGUAGGGUGCGAGCGUUAAUCGGAAUUACUGGGCGUAAAGCGUGCGCAGGCGGUUUUGUAAGCCAGGUGUGAAAUCCCCGGGCUUAACCUGGGAAUGGCAUUUGGGACUGCAAGGCUAGAGUGUGGCAGAGGAGACUGGAAUUCCUGGUGUAGCAGUGAAAUGCGUAGAUAUCAGGAGGAAUACCGAUGGCGAAGGCAGGUCUCUGGGCUAACACUGACGCUCAUGCACGAAAGCGUGGGGAGCAAACAGG